GUGUGUGUCUGCUGUGCGUGCUCAAGGAAACCAAACUGAAAGCGACAAACAAAUGUCAAAUCCCAGGAUACCAUUUGAAGUAGAACCUCUUCCAUGGGAGUGUGCACUGCAGCACGCGUAGACCCCAUAUACCUCUUUUCGCCAUCUCUUCUGCCACCAG
Osmerus eperlanus (European smelt) is the source of this 160-nucleotide long non-coding RNA. RefSeq lists it as uncharacterized. The transcript is spliced from 2 exons. The record is from RefSeq and is a predicted model, not a curated record. Lineage: Eukaryota; Metazoa; Chordata; Actinopteri; Osmeriformes; Osmeridae.